UAAACAUUGCAGCUAUAGCAACAUGCAGGCCCAGGUGCUAAAUCACCUGGUUGGGAAGACAGAAACCAUCUCACAUUGCAUCUAAGAACUCUGACCUGAAUGACAUUUUCCAGGAAGUAGGGAUACACACCUACCUACCGAGAGACCUCCAAACAGAGACAUCAACACAGAAACCUCCGCAGAGAUAACCAGAUCUCCAUAUGCAAACCCAUGUAAAAAGAAACCUAGAGAAACAGAUGCCCAGAUGAAGAGGGGUUUCCAGACAGAUUCUUGGCUGACGUUUCUGUCAGUGGUGUGAAAGGACAUUUACCCAGAUUCUAUAGAUAUUUUGGUUAUGCACUCAACAAACCUACAAUGAAACUACCAGAAUACAAAAGCAAUUGUGAACUCCAGAGAGUGCUAGAAAACAUUAUGGAAGAGGGUAUAGUUUAUGUUAAUUAUAGAGGACUAAAGAGAUGUAGAAUAGGAGAGCUGAAAAAGCCUCCACUUCCAGUGGCUCUUAGAGUGUAAUUAGUCCAAGGGACAGCAAGCUGCCUUCUAGCAGAAUCGUUGUGAUCCCAAAGCCCACAUGACUGGGGCCUCUCUCUGGUCCUUUAUACAGUAAUUAAUAUUUAAAAGAUCUCGCUAAAGCCCUGUCAAGUCCUGAAGCAAGAUUUUGAAAAAUAAAAAAACUCAUAAAACACAAAAUAGAA
RNAcentral lists this long non-coding RNA (692 nucleotides) under Homo sapiens (human). Its description in RNAcentral is "long non-coding RNA NONHSAT209773.1". The record is from RNAcentral. Lineage: Eukaryota; Metazoa; Chordata; Mammalia; Primates; Hominidae.